UUUCCCUCAGGAUAGCUGGAGUUCGAUUGCGAGUUCUAUCAGGUAAAGCCAAUGAUUAGAGGCAUCGAGGGCGCAACGCCCUCAACCCAUUCUUAAAACUUUAAUUAGGUAGGACGGUGGGGCUGCUUUGUUGAGCCGCACCAUGGAAUCGGGACCUCCAAGUGGACCAUUUUUUGUAUGCAAAACUGGCGAUGCGGGAUGAACCG
This 206-nucleotide non-coding RNA is filed under the name Erythranthe guttata (spotted monkey flower). RNAcentral's name for it is "Mimulus guttatus (spotted monkey flower) Eukaryotic large subunit ribosomal RNA". It matches the Rfam family "Eukaryotic large subunit ribosomal RNA", at positions 967 to 1170 of the family's 3401-position model. The record is from Rfam by way of RNAcentral. Lineage: Eukaryota; Viridiplantae; Streptophyta; Magnoliopsida; Lamiales; Phrymaceae.